GUGAGGAAUAUUGGUCAAUGGGCGGGAGCCUGAACCAGCCAAGUCGCGUGAAGGAAGAAGGAUCUAUGGUUCGUAAACUUCUUUUGCAGGGGAAUAAAGUGCAGGACGUGUCCUGUUUUGUAUGUACCCUGAGAAUAAGGAUCGGCUAACUCCGUGCCAGCAGCCGCGGUAAUACGGAGGAUCCGAGCGUUAUCCGGAUUUAUUGGGUUUAAAGGGUGCGUAGGUGGUUUGAUAAUUCAGCGGUGAAGGUUUGUAGCUUAACGGUAUAAAUGCCAUUGAAACUGUCUGACUUGAGUGUAAAUGAGGUAGGCGGAAUGCGUGGUGUAGCGGUGAAAUGCAUAGAUAUCACGCAGAACUCCGAUUGCGAAGGCAGCUUACUAAGCUACAACUGACACUGAAGCACGAAAGCGUGGGGAUCAAACAGGAUUAGAAACCCCGGUAGUCC
RNAcentral lists this ribosomal RNA (445 nucleotides) under uncultured bacterium. RNAcentral's name for it is "partial 16S ribosomal RNA". It matches the Rfam family "Bacterial small subunit ribosomal RNA", at positions 354 to 796 of the family's 1533-position model. The record is from RNAcentral.